Peromyscus maniculatus bairdii (prairie deer mouse) is the source of this 2804-nucleotide non-coding RNA. The record is from RefSeq and is a predicted model, not a curated record. NCBI's taxonomy places the organism in Eukaryota, Metazoa, Chordata, Mammalia, Rodentia, Cricetidae.
UGGCCCACUUUUCUUCCCUUAACCUCUGAAGCUAAAAGUAACCUGGACAUUUGCCAGGUGCUGACUCAAAACUGGGUUAUUUUUAGCUUUGGGUGCCUUGAAACCUAGUUAGGGAAAAAACGACCUCAAGGAACGGAAGAUUCGGAGUUUCGCUUGGCAGAUGCGCUGCGUGCAUUUUGAAUGUCAGAUGGCGGACCAGGUACUGGGGGUCAUAGCCAUGAAGGUGACAGGCGAUGUUCAUCAGUGCCCCAAUCUGUUACACUAGUCUAUGACAAGGUGACAAAGAAGAUGGAUUCUAAAACAGCAUGUAAAUCUGUGGUGGGACACUAGUCCUGGGAUGAUAGGAACAAACGUCUACUCACCCCAGAUAUGGAACUAAUAAUGAACCUAGUAAGGACAGACGACCAACGCCGACUUUGGUGAACCAAUAAACCUGACACAACUUGUCACCUUUAGCCUAAUUAAAGCAUCCCCCUGUGCGAUUGCUGUAAUACUUACAUCAGCUCUAAAACUCCAAGCAUGCUUCAGCUGCUGACCACAGGAAGGCUAACAGUGCUCUGGUCUCUAAGGAGUUGACCCCUCUGAGAACAUGUCUUUAAAUCAGCCAAUCACAACAUUUCAGAGUCUCUCACUGGCCUGGAACAUGCAGCAUAGGCUAAGCUCCCUGACCAGCCAGCCCCAGGGAUCUGCCUGUCUCCACUUCUCCAGCUCUGGGGUUACCAACAUGUCCAGCAUUUUUAAACCGUGUUCUGAGGGUUGAACUCAGGCUCUGGUGCUUGCAAGAUUCUCAGUGAAACUGGCUGGAGAUCUAUUCUUUCAAUGACAGUACAUCAAGCUCUGGAAGCAUGUUUCGUUUUGAGUCGCCAGCGUGCAAGACGACAACUUCCGUGGCCUGGUUCCUGCCCCUUUGGACUUGUUGAUGAGCUGUGCGUGACGCCUGGCAGUGGCACUGUUACGACAGAGGGUGUUUAGGGAGAUGGCAGCGCCAUUGCCCUUGGUACUCCAACUUAAAGCGCUGGAAAUAUAAAUAAAAGAUUGUCAUGGUUUUCUUGGUUUGGGAAGAAAAAAGCUUUUCAACAGCCGUGUUAUUCCACUCAGCCCCAGCUUUCUUUGCCAACAGCUCAUUGAGGAGGAUGGGGCUUGGAAGGGGGAAGCAGGGAAGUGGAUCAUUAUUCAACAACUGGAAUCACCUGGGGUCAAUAACGUAGCGUCCACCCUGUCGUGUCCCCAUUGCCACAGGAAUCAUCGAGGCUUGCUCUGAAUACAUACAGACUCACAUGUAGCUCGAGGAAUGACAUGAAGAUCCAAUUCUCGGUUUGUAUUUCUUUGACUCAGAGGAUGCACCGUAAAAGCUCCCCGCUCAGAAGUGAAACAGUUGGCACCACUGAGCCAGAAUCUUGAUAUCCUGAAAUCCCAAAUCUGUUUCUUUAGGUAGAGGCUAGGCAAGCCUGCAUUUUUAGCCAUCUUCACUCAGCCACUUGGCUCUCAGCUCUUCUGAAAUGUCCUGGGUAGCCUGGUGGAAGCUGGGCUGAGGCAGCGUUUUUAGCAUCAGAUUGGAUGCUGCUGAGGAGUUGACAGUUCCUAGUGGCCUGAGCCAGCCUCUGCUGGCAGGGUCCAGGACUCCUCAUCCAUGCUGCUGGCAGAGCUGUGCCCACUAGUAAAUCCUGGUGUCUGAAACCUAGAAAGGGCGUCUGAGAUUAGUGAGUAGUCUUUAUCAUUUUCCCGUAGAGGAAGAGCUCCUAGGAAAGAUGAGUGACUGGUAUAAGACCACAGGUCUCUUGGUCUUGGUUUAGCUCUCUGGUUCCCCUGGGCUCAGUUUCUUGGUAAUGUACACCAGACUGCCACAAAUUCUGGGUCUCCCAUGAGGCUUCUCCUGGGACACUUACUGAGGUGGGUCUGAAGAGUUUGAUGAAUCUUGGCUGUGUUACACAGGCGCUUGGUGGAAUGAAUGGCCUUAGAAGGUCCCCAGGAAGCAGCUGCAUCCGAAGGUCCCCUGUUUGAGCAGUGGACAAGCUUGUUUAGCACCUUCCAGGAGGUAAAAGCAAAUGGAGCCAAUUACAUGUCCAGAAUGCAGGAGCCUUCUUUUCCUCCCUUGAUUCUCUGGUCUCCCAUGGUGUAUGAGUUCCUUGUUAAAUUAAUGUUUGCCUGUCUGGAGCGCCAGAGGGAUAGACAUUAUAGGCCAAUUAGAGAUAAAAAUCAAACCAACCAGAGCUGUCCUUUUAAAAAUUAAAAGUGCUUUUUAUGUGCUGUGGAGGUGUCGGCAUUAACAUAAAGACUAAUUAGGACAUUUUACAACAUCCUGGUAACGGGCGAAACAAUAUUGUUGGUAACUUUAAAGAUUAUUAAGCAUCUUUGGCACUUCAGGUCAGAUAUUUAAGACGUGUUCUGCUCUCACCUGCUGCUGCGGCACCAAGUAUUUUAUUGUCUCAUAAGAAGAAAUGAGCGUUUUGAAGGCCUAAGUGCCCUGCUGUAAUGGACAGUCCCUCACUUUGCAAAGCCCUAAAGCACGGUCUCUGGGAAGACCUGACUGUGACUCCACAUGGCAUUUGUAGCAAUGUUCAUCAGUCUGCAUGCAAGGCCAUUUCAAUCGGGGCUACCCGGAGAAACGCAUCCCCCUCCAGGAAGCUGAGAGGGUUUGUGUGGCCUCAAUAAAAGAAGCCAGAAGCUAGAUAGUGCAGAAUCCUAUCAUAAUACUGUCUUUAGGGACAGGGGAGAUGGUGUAAGGACCUGAGUUUAGUUCCCUGACAACCAUGUAUAAAGCCAGAUUACACAUCUGUAAUCCCAGCACUAGGGAGGAAGAGAGG